Molecule: ribosomal RNA, 951 nt
Filed under: uncultured beta proteobacterium
Lineage: Bacteria; Pseudomonadati; Pseudomonadota; Betaproteobacteria
Description: bacterial SSU rRNA
Rfam family: Bacterial small subunit ribosomal RNA
Source: RNAcentral
AGAGUUUGAUCCUGGCUCAGAUUGAACGCUGAUGCUUUACACUGCAAGUCGAACGGUAACAGGCCUUCGGGCGCUGACGAGUGGCGAACGGGUGAGUAAUGUAUCGGAACGUACCUUUCAGUGGGGGAUAACGUAGCGAAAGUUACGCUAAUACCGCAUAUUCUGUGAGCAGGAAAGCAGGGGAUCGCAAGACCUUGCGCUGAUUGAGCGGCCGAUAUCAGAUUAGCUAGUUGGUGAGGUAAAGGCUCACCAAGGCGACGAUCUGUAGCGGGUCUGAGAGGAUGAUCCGCCACACUGGAACUGACACGGUCCAGACUCCUACGGGAGGCAGCAGUGGGGAAUUUUGGACAAUGGGGGCAACCCUGAUCCAGCCAUGCCGCGUGAGUGAAGAAGGCCUUCGGGUUGUAAAGCUCUUUCGGCCGGGAAGAAAUCGUACGGGCUAAUACCCUGUGCGGAUGACGGUACCGGCAUAAGAAGCACCGGCUAACUACGUGCCAGCAGCCGCGGUAAUACGUAGGGUGCGAGCGUUAAUCGGAAUUACUGGGCGUAAAGCGUGCGCAGGCGGUUUUGUAAGACAGGCGUGAAAUCCCCGGGCUCAACCUGGGAACUGCGCUUGUGACUGCAAGGCUAGAGUAUGGCAGAGGGGGGUGGAAUUCCACGUGUAGCAGUGAAAUGCGUAGAGAUGUGGAGGAACACCAAUGGCGAAGGCAGCCCCCUGGGCCAAUACUGACGCUCAUGCACGAAAGCGUGGGUAGCAAACAGGAUUAGAUACCCUGGUAGUCCACGCCCUAAACGAUGUCAACUAGGUGUUGGGUGGGUAAAACCAUUUAGUACCGUAGCUAACGCGUGAAGUUGACCGCCUGGGGAGUACGGCCGCAAGGUUAAAACUCAAAGGAAUUGACGGGGACCCGCACAGCGGUGGAUGAUGUGGAUUAUUCGAUGCACGCGAAA